This is a long non-coding RNA of Amblyraja radiata (thorny skate), 171 nucleotides long. RefSeq lists it as uncharacterized. The transcript has 4 exons. The record is from RefSeq and is a predicted model, not a curated record. Lineage: Eukaryota; Metazoa; Chordata; Chondrichthyes; Rajiformes; Rajidae.
UCCACUCUAUCCAGGCCUUUCACUAUUUUGUACUUUUCAGUGAGGUCGCCCCCUCAUCCUUCUAAACUCCAGCGAGUACAGGCCCAGUGCCGUCAAAUUCUCAUCCUAGGUUAACCCGCUCAUGCCUGGAGAUGACUGAUGUGGGUGUUAGGGUUAUGGGGAGAACGCAGG